AAUUCUCAACCUAACCAGUUUUCUGUGUUAGGCUUGGAUGUGGGGGUUUUUGCAGGCUGCCUCAGUGCGGUCUGCUCCCCUGAAAUGCAUUAGCGAGUUCAAACUGAGCUCCGUCUAUUGGUGUGAUAAUUAUCUACGCCGUGGAUUGGGCUUAGACUUGCUUCUAACCGUCCGCAAGGACAAUCUUUUGACA
RNAcentral lists this unclassified non-coding RNA (193 nucleotides) under Britzelmayria supernula. Its description in RNAcentral is "Psathyrella supernula partial internal transcribed spacer 2". The record is from RNAcentral. Lineage: Eukaryota; Fungi; Basidiomycota; Agaricomycetes; Agaricales; Psathyrellaceae.